Long non-coding RNA from Passer domesticus (house sparrow), 1950 nucleotides. RefSeq lists it as uncharacterized. The record is from RefSeq and is a predicted model, not a curated record. The transcript has 2 exons. Lineage: Eukaryota; Metazoa; Chordata; Aves; Passeriformes; Passeridae.
AUUUCUGAUCUUUUUCAGGCGGUACCUCGGCCAGUCCUAACAACCACCUCCAGGACGACCCCCUUUCGGUUGCAGUUGACGGAGCCGCUCCAUCUUAUUGACUCAAAUAUCCAACUCGUCUCCGUCAGUCCGGAGUGCCCAGAAAGCCCGAGAAUGUCCGUCCCCAUAACCCACAUCGAGCUGAUCAUUUUCUGGAACUUUUUUGCCAUCGCGAGCUCAUGGAUUGUCCCUCAACCCAAGCAAAACAUUUGGAAGAUGCUCGCUGGCGCCCUCGGCAGAGAUCAUUUGUGCCUCUCCGCCACCUCGGCAGCAGACCCCUUGUCGACCUGCCUUGUGGGGAUCCCGCUUCCUCCAAAAGAGUUUCCCGAGCCCCUUUACUCCUUCCUUGAACCCCUUUCCCAAAAUAAAGUUUUCAGUCCCUCUAGUCCCAAUCCCAAUCCAAUCUGGAGGAGGCUAAUGUCCAAAUUGAAUAUAUCUAAAUCUGACCCCACCGAAUUUAAAUUGCUCGGCUCCGCGUCAGCAAAAUUGUGUGUUCAAUUUUUCCCUUCCCGCGACCGCUACGAAAAAUCUUUUACGCCAAUUAUAGAACAGAAUCAAAGCUACGCGGCAGGGAAUUGGUGUUCUGUCACCUCUCAUAUUACCACCCCCAUCUCAUUUGACGAUAAACCCAGAUCCCUCCCUAACGGCAUAUUUUUCAUUUGCGGAAACCGAGCAUGGGCAGGUAUCCCCCCUCGCCUUCUAGGAGGCCCGUGUACAUUUGGACGGCUGACGCUGUUUGCUCCCAACAAUUCCCAAAUUAAAGAUUGGAAGGAGAAAAUUGUCGCACACAAUUCGGUCCGCGUAGCAAGAGACCUUAAAGAUUUAGAUGAACAGUGCGACUCCAAAAUUGUUCAUUGGUCAAAGCCAGAAGGUGUCGCAUGGACAGUGUUUCUCCCAUGGGUGUCUAUUGCAAAGUCUCUAGGUGAAUUAGCUCACCUGGAGUGUUGGGUAGCCAGACAGGCCAAUUUUACCUCAGCCGCUCUAAGCAACCUCCUAGCAGACGAGGAAAUAACAAGGCAGGCGACUCUCCAAAACCGGGCAGCAAUAGACUUCCUAUUGCUGCUUCAGGAUCACCGGUGUGAGGAGUUCGAAGGGCUCUGCUGCCUCAAUUUAUCAUCCAAAGCCGGGGACGCCAGAAGAUCUAUUGACCAAAUGAAGGGAAUGAUCAGCGACAUUAAGGAGAAAACAUCAGACUGGUUGGGAGACAUCUUUACGGGAUGGGGUCUCUCGGGCUGGGUAGUCUCUAUUUUGAAAACUGUUGUUUUAGUCCUUUUCAUUUUACUAGUCAAUUCAAUUGCAAUUUCUGUCGUUUGGAGAAUUCUUAGAAGGCUUAUAGUUAAAUCGAUGUCUGCUUUAGAAGUGAAUCGGGUGGUAGUCGAAGAACAGAUUAUGGACGAAAGUCAAGAAGAAGGUGCCGAAGAAGACGAGCAGUUAAAAGACCACCCUGGGUCAGAUGAGUCCUCAGAAGAUGGUGUUUAAGUUACCCCACUCCUCCUUUUUCUUUUUAAACAAAGAAGGGGGAAAUGUAGGGGUGCAUUAGUUUUAAGUUGGUUUAUUCCUGUACCCCCCAUUCUGUUUAUGGUUCUGCCCGGGCUUUCUCUCUCUCCCUCUUCUGAAUUGUCCCGUCAGCUACACUUUAUCUUUCCUAAAUUCCUCCCUAACUGCCUGUCUGUUAUUCAGGGUCCUUGCCCACUCAUCCAGAACAUUCUGGCCUGGACAUUGAAUGAUUGGUUUAGAGGUCAGGAUUCAACCCCUAAUUUAUUUACACUGGACAUCUGAGCUGUUUGUUAUGCGUUAUUCCCUCCUCUCAAAAUUUUAGAUUGGUCGCUGUGUUCUAGUUAUAAGACCUUGCCGAGCAAGCUUUUUUGUCCGCGCCCGACGCUUCUUCAAUAAACAUCUCCCUUUUCCCUG